Molecule: ribosomal RNA, 1249 nt
Filed under: Salmonella enterica subsp. enterica serovar Anatum
Lineage: Bacteria; Pseudomonadati; Pseudomonadota; Gammaproteobacteria; Enterobacterales; Enterobacteriaceae
Description: partial 23S ribosomal RNA
Rfam family: Bacterial large subunit ribosomal RNA
Source: RNAcentral
GUUAAGCGACUAAGCGUACACGGUGGAUGCCCUGGCAGUCAGAGGCGAUGAAGGGCGUGCUAAUCUGCGAUAAGCGCCGGUAAGGUGAUAUGAACCGUUAUAACCGGCGAUACCCGAAUGGGGAAACCCAGUGUGAUUCGUCACACUAUCAUUAACUGAAUCCAUAGGUUAAUGAGGCGAACCGGGGGAACUGAAACAUCUAAGUACCCCGAGGAAAAGAAAUCAACCGAGAUUCCCCCAGUAGCGGCGAGCGAACGGGGAGGAGCCCAGAGCCUGAAUCAGCAUGUGUGUUAGUGGAAGCGUCUGGAAAGGCGCGCGAUACAGGGUGACAGCCCCGUACACAAAAGCGCAUGUGCUGUGAGCUCGAUGAGUAGGGCGGGACACGUGGUAUCCUGUCUGAAUAUGGGGGGACCAUCCUCCAAGGCUAAAUACUCCUGACUGACCGAUAGUGAACCAGUACCGUGAGGGAAAGGCGAAAAGAACCCCGGCGAGGGGAGUGAAAAAGAACCUGAAACCGUGUACGUACAAGCAGUGGGAGCCCCACCACCAAAGCAUUCUCUGGUGUUGAAGGCCCUGCAAAGCAGCAUCGCGGUGGCGGAGCGUCGUUUGCGACGCCCAACACACAAAACAAGCGGUGAGUGCUUUGGGGUGGGGUGACUGCGUACCUUUUGUAUAAUGGGUCAGCGACUUAUAUUCUGUAGCAAGGUUAACCGUAUAGGGGAGCCGUAGGGAAACCGAGUCUUAACCGGGCGUUAAGUUGCAGGGUAUAGACCCGAAACCCGGUGAUCUAGCCAUGGGCAGGUUGAAGGUUGGGUAACACUAACUGGAGGACCGAACCGACUAAUGUUGAAAAAUUAGCGGAUGACCUGUGGCUGGGGGUGAAAGGCCAAUCAAACCGGGAGAUAGCUGGUUCUCCCCGAAAGCUAUUUAGGUAGCGCCUCGUGAAUUCAUCUCCGGGGGUAGAGCACUGUUUCGGCUAGGGGGCCAUCCCGGCUUACCAACCCGAUGCAAACUGCGAAUACCGGAGAAUGUUAUCACGGGAGACACACGGCGGGUGCUAACGUCCGUCGUGAAGAGGGAAACAACCCAGACCGCCAGCUAAGGUCCCAAAGUCAUGGUUAAGUGGGAAACGAUGUGGGAAGGCCCAGACAGCCAGGAUGUUGGCUUAGAAGCAGCCAUCAUUUAAAGAAAGCGUAAUAGCUCACUGGUCGAGUCGGCCUGCGCGGAAGAUGUAACGGGGCUAAACCAU